GUAGGGUGCAAGCGUUAAUCGGGAAUUACUGGGGCGUAAAGCGUGCGCAGGCGGUUUUGUAAGUCUGAUGUGAAAUCCCCCGGGGCUCAACCUGGGGAAUUGCAUUGGAGACUGCAAGGCUAGAAUCUGGCAGAGGGGGGUAGAAUUCCACGUGUAGCAGUGAAAUGCGUAGAUAUGUGGAGGAACACCGAUGGCGAAGGCAGCCCCCUGGGUCAAGAUUGACGCUCAUGCACGAAAGCGUGGGGAGCAAACAGGAUUAGAUACCCUGGUAGUCCACGCCCUAAACGAUGUCUACUAGUUGUCGGGUCUUAAUUGACUUGGUAACGCAGCUAACGCGUGAAGUAGACCGCCUGGGGAGUACGGUCGCAAGAUUA
Molecule: ribosomal RNA, 374 nt
Filed under: uncultured organism
Description: partial 16S ribosomal RNA
Rfam family: Bacterial small subunit ribosomal RNA
Source: RNAcentral